UCCGGGCUCAGGACAAACGCUGGCGGCGUGUUUAACACAAGCAAGACGAACGAAGAGCGAGGGAAGCUUGCUUCUAUCAAUCUUAGUGGCGAACGGGUGAGUAACGCGUAAUCAACCUGCCCUUCAGAGGGGGACAACAGUUGGAAACGACUGCUAAUACCGCAUACGAUCUAAUCUCGGCAUCGAGGAUGGAUGAAAGGUGGCCUCUAUUUAUAAGCUAUCACUGAAGGAGGGGAUUGCGUCUGAUUAGCUAGUUGGAGGGGUAACGGCCCACCAAGGCGAUGAUCAGUAGCCGGUCUGAGAGGAUGAACGGCCACAUUGGGACUGAGACACGGCCCAGACUCCUACGGGAGGCAGCAGUGGGGAAUCUUCCGCAAUGGACGAAAGUCUGACGGAGCAACGCCGCGUGAGUGAUGACGGCCUUCGGGUUGUAAAGCUCUGUUAAUCGGGACGAAAGGCCUUCUUGCGAAUAGUUAGAAGGAUUGACGGUACCGGAAUAGAAAGCCACGGCUAACUACGUGCCAGCAGCCGCGGUAAUACAUAGGUGGCAAGCGUUGUCCGUAAUUAUUGGGCGUAAAGCGCGCGCAGGCGGAUUGGUCAGUCUGUCUUUAAAGUUCGGGGCUUAACCCCGUGAUGGGAUGGAAACUGCCAAUCUAGAGUAUGGGUGAGGAAAGUGGAAUUCCUAGUGUAGCGGGGAAGUGCGUGGAUAUUAGGAAGAACACCAG
This 725-nucleotide ribosomal RNA is filed under the name uncultured organism. RNAcentral describes it as "SSU rRNA". It matches the Rfam family "Bacterial small subunit ribosomal RNA", at positions 17 to 712 of the family's 1533-position model. The record is from RNAcentral.